RNAcentral lists this ribosomal RNA (1526 nucleotides) under Austrocerca rieki. RNAcentral describes it as "partial 28S ribosomal RNA". It matches the Rfam family "Eukaryotic large subunit ribosomal RNA", at positions 24 to 1876 of the family's 3401-position model. The record is from RNAcentral. Lineage: Eukaryota; Metazoa; Arthropoda; Insecta; Plecoptera; Notonemouridae.
UCCCGCGUAAUUUAAGCAUAUUAAUAAGCGGAGGAAAAGAAACUAACUAGGAUUCCCUUAGUAGCUGCGAGCGAACAGGGAAGAGCCCAGCACUGAAUCCUGCGCGCCAAGCGCGCGUUUGGAAAUGAAGUGUUUGGGAGGGGCCGAUUAUCUCGUGAGAGCGCACCAGUCCAAGACCAUCUUGAAAGCGGGCACAGCCCACAGAGGGUGUCAGGCCCGUAGAACUCUAAGUGGGUGGUAAACUCCAUCUAGNNNNNNNNNNNNNNNNNNNNNNNNNNNNNNNNNNNNNNNNNNNNNNNNNNGUAGCCAAACGACUCGCAAGGUAGUCGCGGGGCGGUCCCCGCUUAAACCGCGGGGCCGCCCAGCGGCCGGCUCACUAACACUGGGCACGCGUGUCGUGCCAGCGACGCUCUAUCUAGAGCAUCAUCCGACCCGUCUUGAAACACGGACCAAGGAGUCUAACAUGUGCGCGAGUCAUUGGGACCCGAACUAAACCUAGAGGCGUAAUGAAAGUGAAUGUCGGCCGCCUCGGCGGCCGGGCAGAGGGGAGAUGGUGGCCGGCCUAGCGUCGCGUCGCCCGCAUCCCCGGGGCGUCUCGUUGUCAUUGCGACACAGCAGGCGCACCCAGAGCGUACACGUUGGGACCCGAAAGAUGGUGAACUAUGCCUGGUCAGGUCGAAGUCAGGGGAACUGGCACUCGGAGCAAAUGCACGAAGCGUCGGUGGUAACGGCGCGCGUUUCGGCGCGCGCCGCGCCGGUCGCAAACACCAGUCUCAUCUGGUAAAGCGAAUGAUUAGAGGCCUUGGGGCCGAAACGACCUCAACCUAUUCUCAAACUUUAAAUGGGUGAGACAUUCGACUUGCUUAAAUGCCAUGUCGUUGAAGUCGGAACCCAGCCGCGCCGCGUCCGUAUUUAUGCGGGCGCGCGCGCGGAUGCACAAUGGAUGAAAGAGUGCCAAGUGGGCCAAUUUUGGUAAGCAGAACUGGUGCUGUGGGAUGAACCAAACGUCGCGUUAAGGCGCCUAAAUCGAUGCUCCGAUGUUGAUGUGCUGUCGUUUCACACUUUCGAUUUUUAACAAUCUCUCUGCAAAUUUUUCGGUUGCUCGUCUGCCCCCAUAUAUAUGUAUGUAUAUGUGUGUGUGUGUGCGCGCGCGCGCUCUAAAAUUUCGAGGGAAAAAUUUCAAACAAAAUGAUUGACCACAUCGGGCGAAAGGGAAUCCGGUUCCUAUUCCGGAACCCGGCUGCGGAACCGACUCGCGGGCCACUCUGCAGCAAUGCAGAACUCGUCGGGGUAACCCAAAAGGACCCGGAGACGCCGUCGGAUGAUCGAGGCAGAGUUUUCUGUUCUGUAUGAGCGUUCGAGUUCCCUGGAAUCGCCUAGCGCGGAGAUAGGGUUUGGAACGCGAAGAGCACCGCACUUGCGGCGGUGUCUCGAUCUAUCCCUCGGACCUUGAAAAUCCGGGAGAGGGCCACGUGGAGGUGUCGCGCCGGUUCGUACCCAUAUCCGCAGCAGGUCUCCAAGGUGAG